CCUACGGGAGACUGCAGUGAGGAAUAUUGGUCAAUGGACGCAAGUCUGACCCAGCAAUGCCGCGUGCAGGAAGACGGCUCUAUGAGUUGUAAACUGCUUUUGUACGAGGGUAAACGCAGAUACGCGUAUAUAUAUGAAAGUAUCGUACGAAUAAGGAUCGGCUAACUCCGUGCCAGCAGCCGCGGUAAUACGGAGGGUUCAAGCGUUAUCCGGAUUUAUUGGGUUUACAGGGUGCGUAGGCGGUCGGAUAAGUUAGAGGUGAAAUCCCGAGGCUCAACUUCGGAAUUGCCUCUGAUACUGUUCGGCUAGAGAGUAGUUGCGGUAGGCGGAAUGUAUGGUGUAGCGGUGAAAUGCUUAGAGAUCAUACAGAACACCGAUUGCGAAGGCAGCUUACCAAGCUACUUCUGACGUUGAGGCACGAAAGCGUGGGGAGCAAACAGGAUUAGAUACCCGGGUAGUC
This 460-nucleotide ribosomal RNA is filed under the name uncultured bacterium. RNAcentral's name for it is "partial 16S ribosomal RNA". It matches the Rfam family "Bacterial small subunit ribosomal RNA", at positions 338 to 795 of the family's 1533-position model. The record is from RNAcentral.